This 490-nucleotide ribosomal RNA is filed under the name uncultured bacterium. Its description in RNAcentral is "partial 16S ribosomal RNA". It matches the Rfam family "Bacterial small subunit ribosomal RNA", at positions 30 to 507 of the family's 1533-position model. The record is from RNAcentral.
AUUGAACGCUGGCGGCAGGCCUAACACAUGCAAGUCGAACGGUAACAGGAAGCAGCUUGCUGCUUCGCUGACGAGUGGCGGACGGGCGAGUAAUGUCUGGGAAGCUGCCUGAUGGAGGGGGAUAACUACUGGAAACGGUAGCUAAUACCGCAUAAUGUCGCAAGACCAAAGAGGGGGACCUUCGGGCCUCUUGCCAUCGGAUGUGCCCAGAUGGGAUUAGCUUGUUGGUGGGGUAACGGCUCACCAAGGCGACGAUCCCUAGCUGGUCUGAGAGGAUGACCAGCCACACUGGAACUGAGACACGGUCCAGACUCCUACGGGAGGCAGCAGUGGGGAAUAUUGCACAAUGGGCGCAAGCCUGAUGCAGCCAUGCCGCGUGUAUGAAGAAGGCCUUCGGGUUGUAAAGUACUUUCAGCGGGGAGGAAGGGAGUAAAGUUAAUACCUUUGCUCAUUGACGUUACCCGCAGAAGAAGCACCGGCUAACUCCGUG